GGUGGCUCAGUGGUAGAGUGCUUGCCUUGCAUGCAGAAGGCCCUGGGUUCGAUUCCUCAGCACCA
RNAcentral lists this transfer RNA (65 nucleotides) under Dipodomys ordii (Ord's kangaroo rat). It matches the Rfam family "tRNA". Rfam says of the family: Transfer RNA (tRNA) molecules are approximately 80 nucleotides in length. Their secondary structure includes four short double-helical elements and three loops (D, anti-codon, and T loops). The record is from Rfam by way of RNAcentral. Lineage: Eukaryota; Metazoa; Chordata; Mammalia; Rodentia; Heteromyidae.